RNAcentral lists this ribosomal RNA (318 nucleotides) under Epicypta aterrima. Its description in RNAcentral is "eukaryotic LSU rRNA". It matches the Rfam family "Eukaryotic large subunit ribosomal RNA", at positions 69 to 371 of the family's 3401-position model. The record is from RNAcentral. Lineage: Eukaryota; Metazoa; Arthropoda; Insecta; Diptera; Mycetophilidae.
CCAAGAUUCCUUUAGUAGCGGCGAGCGAAACAGGAAAAGCCCAGCACUAAGCCCUCCGGUCGUAAUGGCCGGUAGGGGAUGCAGUGUAUGGAAAGUCUAUUAUCUUAGGUGACGCAGUACGUUCAAGUCCAUCUUGAAUGGGGCCAUUUACCCAUAGAGGGUGCCAGGCCCGUGCAAACUGCUGCUAGCUUAAGAAGGCUAUUCCAAAGAGUCGUGUUGCUUGAUAGUGCAGCACUAAGUGGGUGGUAAACUCCAUCUAAGGCUAAAUAUAACCACGAGACCGAUAGCGAACAAGUACCGUGAGGGAAAGUUGAAAAG